ACGCUGGCAGAGUGCAUCAGUCAUGCAAUUUGAGCGAACAGAUAAGGAGCUUGCUCCUCUGACGUUAGCGGCGGACGGGUGAGUAACACGUGGGUAACCUACCUAUAAGACUGGGAUAACUUCGGGAAACCGGAGCUAAUACCGGAUAACAUUUGGAACCGCAUGGUUCUAAAGUGAAAGAUGGUUUUGCUAUCACUUAUAGAUGGACCCGCGCCGUAUUAGCUAGUUGGUAAGGUAACGGCUUACCAAGGCGACGAUACGUAGCCGACCUGAGAGGGUGAUCGGCCACACUGGAACUGAGACACGGUCCAGACUCCUACGGGAGGCAGCAGUAGGGAAUCUUCCGCAAUGGGCGAAAGCCUGACGGAGCAACGCCGCGUGAGUGAUGAAGGGUUUCGGCUCGUAAAACUCUGUUAUUAGGGAAGAACAAACGUGUAAGUAACUGUGCAUGUCUUGACGGUACCUAAUCAGAAAGCCACGGCUAACUACGUGCCAGCAGCCGCGGUAAUACGUAUGUGGCAAGCGUUAUCCGAAAUUAUUGGGCGUAAAGCGCGUGGAGGCGGUCUCUUAAUUCUUAUGUGAAACCCCACUGUCUCACCGUGACAGGCUCAGGGAAACUUGAAAAACUUAAGCGC
RNAcentral lists this ribosomal RNA (635 nucleotides) under Staphylococcus sp. Bac155W4. RNAcentral describes it as "bacterial SSU rRNA". It matches the Rfam family "Bacterial small subunit ribosomal RNA", at positions 33 to 649 of the family's 1533-position model. The record is from RNAcentral. Lineage: Bacteria; Bacillati; Bacillota; Bacilli; Caryophanales; Staphylococcaceae.